UGAGACAAGAGGCUCCUAUGUCCUGCGACGAGUAUCUUGGAAUGGAUUCAUCUAGAGUGGAUUCAGUAUCCUACUGACAUUGAGACACCAGCCUCUAUUGGCUCCGAGCAGACUGGAUGGGAAGAGGACAAAGAGCAGAAAAACACUUGUACAUUUUACCAGUUUGCCCAAAGAGGUCUCCAAGUCCUCCCUGCACCAGUAUUCCCCUGGGUUAUGUAACAGCCUGCUACACUGCUGGAAUGACAUACAGCUGACAGCUGUAUGAUGCUCAUUCAGUGAAACAGAUGGGGAGCUGAAAGUUUCGUCAAUAAUAGAACUCUGAUGGCUUCAUGUCAGCGGUCAAGAUAGAUAGAUAGAUUUGUCAACAUUUUUCAACAUACAAUAAAAGCUCACAUAAGAAAAAUAAGCAGAAGGAAGGAAGGAAGAGAGAGAAAGAGAAAAGAAGAAAUAAAAACAACAGGCCAGACAAGUAAAGAAGAG
Molecule: long non-coding RNA, 480 nt
Organism: Sceloporus undulatus (fence lizard)
Lineage: Eukaryota; Metazoa; Chordata; Lepidosauria; Squamata; Phrynosomatidae
Exons: 4
Source: RefSeq, a predicted model, not a curated record